Molecule: ribosomal RNA, 254 nt
Filed under: uncultured prokaryote
Description: partial 16S ribosomal RNA
Rfam family: Bacterial small subunit ribosomal RNA
Source: RNAcentral
UACGGAGGAUACAAGCGUUAUCCGGAUUUAUUGGGUUUAAAGGGUGCGCAGGUUGUUUGAUAAGUCAGUGGUGAAAGUCUGUCGCUUAACGGUAGGAUUGCCAUUGAUACUGUUGGACUUGAAUAUGGAUGAGGUAGGCGGAAUGUGUAGUGUAGCGGUGAAAUGCAUAGAUAUUACACAGAACACCGAUUGCGAAGGCAGCUUACUAAUCCAUCAUUGACGCUGAGGCACGAAAGCGUGGGGAUCAAACAGGA